UAGGGAAUCUUCCGCAAUGGACGCAAGUCUGACGGAGCAACGCCGCGUGAGUGAAGAAGGAUUUCGGUUCGUAAAACUCUGUUGUUAGAGAAGAACAGCGCAUAGAGUAACUGUUAUGCGUGUGACGGUAUCUAACCAGAAAGCUCCGGCUAAAUACGUGCCAGCAGCCGCGGUAAUACGUAUGGAGCGAGCGUUGUCCGGAAUUAUUGGGCGUAAAGGGUACGCAGGCGGUUUAAUAAGUCGAAUGUUAAAGAUCGGGGCUCAACCCCGUAAAGCAUUGGAAACUGAUAAACUUGAGUAGUGGAGAGGAAAGUGGAAUUCCUAGUGUAGUGGUGAAAUACGUAGAUAUUAGGAGGAAUACCAGUAGCGAAGGCGACUUUCUGGACACAAACUGACGCUGAGGUACGAAAGCGUGGGGAGCAAACAG
RNAcentral lists this ribosomal RNA (427 nucleotides) under Bacteroidota bacterium. Its description in RNAcentral is "Bacteroidetes bacterium partial 16S ribosomal RNA". It matches the Rfam family "Bacterial small subunit ribosomal RNA", at positions 355 to 775 of the family's 1533-position model. Lineage: Bacteria; Pseudomonadati; Bacteroidota. The record is from RNAcentral.